AGCAGCCUCGCUGGGGCCCCCUGACUGCCCCGCCCGGCCAGGCUAUGCCCUCCCACAUGGCUGGCUAGGCUCCCAGGCAGCGCCCAGCUUCUCCCUGCCAGUUGAAGACGCGUCCGGCCCGGCGGGCACCAAGAGCACGGAAAGCAUUGCACAUGGCCCCCCAAUAACUCCCACCCAAGACCCGUGCUCCCGACCCCUCCGCGGAGGGAGAUGGCCCUGAGGGGACGCCUGGUGAUGCCCGGUCGCUGCGCCACCACGCAAAGCCGAGGCUUGAGCGCAGCCGGCACCUGCUCUGUGCGCCGGGCGCUGCCAUCCCCACUGCUCUCGCCACCCCUGGGCUGGAGACAAAGCGCAUGAGCCACGCGCGUGGCAGCGCGAGCAUCAUUAAUCAGAGAGGAAACUGGCGCGCUGCCCCGGCCCCGCCACCCUACCUCUCCCUCCCAGCCAUCAGGAGCGCCCCGGAGCCCAGCCCUUGCCUACCUCGCUGGGGUACCACCUCCAGUCUUAGGGAUCUUUGGCCAGAGCUUCUGGCGCUCUGGUACCCCGCUCUUACUCUCCGGGGCCAAGUGCAGAAAACAGCCCAGGGCAGCAACACCUCACCCCACCCAAGAAAUAAUUCUCAGCCCUGAGCUCUCAGAUGCCCAGGCUUUAGAGCUGAGACAGACCACAAGUCCAGCUGCUCAGCGAGGCUGGUCGUCUGAAUGCAAGACCGCCCAGAUCACAGCCGCCUCCUGCCCCGCUGGGCGCUGAUGCGCUGACUGAGAGAAACCGAGCACUGCAGAACCCAGAGGGGGCACACUACCAAGAGGAGGAAAAAGUACAGUGAAGAGUGAAUAAAUUUCCGGAAUACCACCCACCCGCGAGCGACUACACAUGCUACUUUCCUGACAGCAUAGGUCACCAGCCAAGAAAGUCCAUUCUAGCUUCCUACCCCCAGCUGAGAGCAAGGCAUUGGAUUCUGGGCUUCUUGGCUGGGUUGUUAUUAAUGGGUAGCAAAAUUAUAGUUGUGUACUUCUGUGUGCAACUGCCAAAGCUCGUUUUAACAAUCUCCAAUAGCCGAGCUUCUGAAGUGCAGACAGUGAGUUAACUGUGGAUCUGCUGCAAUGCACAAUACAUUG
Molecule: long non-coding RNA, 1118 nt
Organism: Rattus rattus (black rat)
Lineage: Eukaryota; Metazoa; Chordata; Mammalia; Rodentia; Muridae
Exons: 2
Source: RefSeq, a predicted model, not a curated record